GCUCCAUCCAUUAGACUCCGAGCCUGUUCCCAUUUCCGAGUACUUUAUAUCCUGACGAACAACCAAGAACCCAGUACCAUAUUCUUCGCCUAAAAAAAUCAGAUGAAAUGCAAAAAAUCUGUGGCAGGAUUUCCCUGCGAAGAGGCAAGGGGGAGGAGGAGGGAAUGUGGAGACUGAAAAACAACAGAUAGAGAAGGAUAAGGUUCGAAAGAUUUUGAUGAAUCAGAUGCUUGUCACUUGUUCGAAUCCCGGACUCGCCUGCGCCCAGUUGUCGAUUUGGAGCUGGUUAAAAUUUUCUUUGGGCUGAGCUCUUUGUUUUUCCGCACAGUUGGUUUGGUUCUCCGGUGAGCGAAGCGAGAUUGCGGAUCGCUUGGCUGUGGUCGUAGAAUGACUCUUAUACCCCGCAUUCUCUUGACUAAUACAAAUAGUAGACGAUGGGCUUUUGUUUUUUUAAUUAGAUUAUAAAAAUAAAAUUUCAGUCAUUCUUUAUUUGUGAAUAAAUUCUAAAAUUACAAAAAAAAACAAACAAACAGGGAGGAUUAUCCCUCUGAUUGGUGGCUUAACCAAACACUGAGCUUAUCUGCUUAUGUGCAAGAACUGUGCCUGCUUUACAGGGAUUUGGGAAUCCGAUCUUUAAAUUUCACUUGAAAUUCUUGUGUCUGUUUUAACUUCAGAGUCUGGCAAUUUUAGUACAAUGGCGCCCAAAGGAUAGAUUUUACAGGAUGUAAUUUGAAGCAGAAAAAAGAAAAUUAAUUACUCAUAAAAUCAGCUAUUUUAUUUGAAGUUCACAAAGGAUGAAAAUUCCAUCACUGUCCCAUAGAACCAUCAAACACCCCUCUCAUCAAGGUGAACCCCCCAGAAGAUCCACCACCAGCCACAGAUUCAAGUACAGGACUCCUCUCCUCCACACCCUCCUUAAAACAAUAAACAGGAGCUUGCCAAUUUUUAUCCUCCAGCACUGCUCCGACCUCAAAAGUCAUCACAUGAGCAACCAUCCCUGUAUAGAAGGCCCAGUAAACUGGUCUCUUAGUUUUGACAUCCUCAUAGUACCAAAUGAAAUCCACCUUUUCCCACACGUUGCAGAGGAAGCCAUCAACUUGUUGCUGACCGAGAUAGUUAGCGCCUUCAAGCCAGUUGGGUCGAAGAACACCCACCGGGAAACGCAGUGUUCUGCAUUCUUGAUUCGAGUCCAAGGUGUAGAUAUAGGAAGUGCCAUUAUCCCAUUCAAGGUCAUACAAGAGCUUUCCCAGCUGAUUCUGGAUUAUGUUGAAGUUGCGGCCAUUGGGCCAGUCGUACCAGAGGUCCACCACUUGGAGGUUGCCGGCGUUAUUGUUCAUGAAGAGUAUUGAGUGAAAUUGGUGAGGCCAUGCAGCUGGUGUUGGGUCUGCAAUUUUUGAUGCUAUUGAAAAAACAUUGACACAAGAAAUUAAGAGAAAAAUUAGCGGGGGGCAGGACAUGGAUUUCAUUGCGGAGGCCAUUGUUUAUUUGUUAUCGUGUCCCAAUUGGUUAAUGGCUUUAUCCUUAGAAGGUUUCUAUAUUUGCAAUUUCAGGACAUCGCAGUAUUGGAAAUUCUAUUUUUACCCAUCCUAAUAUUUGCGCUCGUUUAUACUAUUGCCCGGCGGUAUUUUAUUUUUCUAUUUGCGCACCGGCUAUUGUUUUCAUUUAGGAAUGCCAGUUCCCAGCUUCUAAAAGCAAGUGCAACAUCUCUCACAAGAUGGACGA
RNAcentral lists this unclassified non-coding RNA (1722 nucleotides) under Hevea brasiliensis (rubber tree). The record is from RNAcentral. Lineage: Eukaryota; Viridiplantae; Streptophyta; Magnoliopsida; Malpighiales; Euphorbiaceae.